Carya illinoinensis is the source of this 2293-nucleotide long non-coding RNA. RefSeq lists it as uncharacterized. The record is from RefSeq and is a predicted model, not a curated record. The transcript has 2 exons. Lineage: Eukaryota; Viridiplantae; Streptophyta; Magnoliopsida; Fagales; Juglandaceae.
UUUUCAUUUCUUCGAAUUCCCAACUGUCCACCUGACUUAAGUGGGUCCAAGCCCAUUUCAUAUUUUUACAAUAGCACUAGAGCAGUUAUCUGAACUAUAGGCCCAAGCACAAGCUUAGGGCUGGUGCAUAGAGUCUGGGCUUGGGCCUGUAGUAGCAUCCCUCCAAUUACUGUUAUCCCACAUUGUUCGGAUUCAAAUGAUAAGUUACCUUUAUAUUCAAGCACGCCACAAUAACCUAGCGUCCCUUCGGGGACAUCCGAUAAAAUUGGAACGAUACAGAGAAGAUUAGCAUGGCCCCUGCGCAAGGAUGACACGCACAAAUCGAGAAAUGGUCCAAAUUUUUUUUUAACUCUUUUGCCCCUGAAGUAUUCAUUUCUUUUUACCAAAACAUCCUUUUUAACUCCCUAAACUAGCCCCCUGCAUGCUUCUCCGCUGGCAACACCAGACACCUGCGCCAAACCUCGCUCUGCAACUUCGUUGUUCGUGCUUGUGUUCUUCGUGCUAACGGAGAACCUGUUCACUCCUCAGGAUCUUAGGCUUUCUGUGACGGUCAUUUGUCUUCCAGUGUUAAAGCGAACGCAAGUACACAACUUGCUUGAUGAAAUGCAUCUUAGAAUCUUGAAAAUGUGUCCUUUCUGCCGAGGCUAUGAAGUUCAAAUGGAAUUUGAUGGCAUAACGAUGCCUACUCCGAUCGCAAUUGCUACAUACUCUUGCAAUAAUAGUCUUUCAAAUUGGAUUCUCUCGGCCUCACCUAUUAUCUUGUUUUUGCAAAGGAAACAGCGACCGUGAUUUGUUCUCACUUGAGUGUUUCAAACUCAAAAGUAGAAAACUGUUUUUGUCUUUUGUGAAAGCAUGACAUUCAUAUGUGAAAUUUCUUAGAUUCGGUCCAAAUCAGAAAUCUUGAAGAAGGCAUAUAUUAAGAAAAGAAAAAUGUUAUCCAUAUCUCUAAUUUUGCAUCAUUUGCUUGGAUGUUUCUGUGACAUCCUUUUCUUUCAGCCAUCAGAGGACCCAAAUUCCAAUCCUUUCUCCCCACCCGAUAGGUUAAUGUAAGCUACUACCAGAGAUUAUGAGAUUAUUAACAUUUUCUUCGUCAGGCGACAGUUGACCUGGUCCUACGGGAUAAUUUGACUCAGCUAUAAGUUCUCCGUUCAAACCUCAGGCAAUUGAAAACUCAACUGGUUUGAAUACUGGGAUUGAUCAAAUGGGUUGUUGCAGCAUUUGAUUUUCUAUCCGUGAAUCAUGUGAUGGUUAAUUUGGUCAAGUCCUAUUUAAUUGGCUCGUUGGAGAUUUGCAUCAUUUAUCUCUACCGUUGAAAUGGAUGCUUACCAUAAAAAAAGAGUUAAGGGUAGCAGUUAGAUGUCUCCAGUGGGCCCACCUGGAGGACAAAAAAUUAUCAUUGUGUUAUUGUCAACGUGAUCAAAGAUACUAAAAUACCGGAAGUUUGCCAUUGGCGGAAAAUGAAACCGUCAAAGGCUAGGCUGUAUGUCAUCAACGAAGUUCGUAUCAAAGAUGUAGUAUAAAAUUAUAUUUGAAUCUCGAGGCUCGGUUUUUCUUGUUUUGUAUAAGAGAGGUAAGAAUUGAUACUGAGCCAACGUGUAAAACUCCUUACUUGGGUCAUUAUAAUCUUGCAAUUUUCAGCUGGCCUUGUCCUCUGCUCCCUCUCCUUUGCCUUUAUUAUUGAGUUUGUCCGUGGCUGUGCAUGUGCAUGAGUGCGUCGCUGGUGCUGCUCGGUAAUGGAAGCGUGGUGUGUAGAUUCUCUUAUCUUCUUUAUCUGCUAGUUUCAGCUAGCUUAUCUCUGCUCAACAAAGGACUGUUCCGGAUGAAGUGGCUGCUCUCAGCAAGAUGAUAGACUACUGGAACUUAAGAAGCAAAGGGAGUGAGUCUUAGCAUUGAACCUUGUACACUGAAUGCAUCAUGGGGUUUCCAUAUUGCGAAUCCCCCGUGUGGAUUGACUGAACUGGCAACUCCUGCCACAUCACUCACCUGUCGUUCUCCAUCAUCAUUUUCACCUUUUAUAUAUAUUCUUGUCUGGUGAAGAAAGUUUCCAAUUGCACUUGAUGCCAGAAGAUAUAUAUGCUUUAGGCAGGUAUAAUACUGAAAGAACUGUUUCUGCUGAAUCCUGAAAGUGCUGAUGGACUUGUGAAGAAUCGAUUCUUAAUUUUUUAGUAAUCCCUGUUGCUUUGAUGUGAUUGAGAUUUAAAAUAUUGUCCAAUGAUGCUGGAAUCUGAGUCAGAAUGUAUUGAGUGGACCCAAGGCUGAAAUUGCAUAAACAACCUGACAGGUGGAGUGCCUC